AACGAUGUAGUUUAGUAAAAUAUCUACUUUACACGUAGGAGUCUCCUAUAAGGACAUUGUUA
This 62-nucleotide transfer RNA is filed under the name Rhinebothrium sp. 1. Its description in RNAcentral is "tRNA-Val". The record is from RNAcentral. Lineage: Eukaryota; Metazoa; Platyhelminthes; Cestoda; Rhinebothriidea; Rhinebothriidae.